UUUGACGACCGUCCGCCGCGCCGAUCCCUUUGCCGCCGACUCGCGAGAGUCAGUUCCGGCGCGGGGCGAAUAAUAUUAUUGUCAUCGCGGCCGCCACCGCUACCCGUCAGUCGUACACAACAUGCACAUUGCGUAGACGGUGGCCGUCGUACCGCGCACAGUAUACACACAAUAGUACACUACGCGAUCGCAAACGCGGAACCAGCAACGUUCCAUCCCUCCCGCCAGCCCGCCAGCCAGCCCGCUCGCCCAGGACCGACCGACAACCAGCCAGCCACAUAACCGUCCCCCGCCCGACGUGUUUGUCCGUCGUGUCCUUAAUGAACGCAGUCACCACACACGGGCGUCAUAGAUGUUAAUUGUCCUGUUAAAACCGAUAGGGAUACUAUGUUCCUACAUAUUUAAAGCCAUGGGACAAAGCCUGGUCAUCGGUUCGGAGCGGUCCGCCAGACGGAAGAAACAAAAAACUGAUGGAAAUGUGCCCGUCGACACACCGACCGUGUCACUCACGGCGGCUUCUAUGACCAACCUAGACAAUAUUACUCAGCACCAAAUAGUCUACAAAAAAAUGGAACAACUGAUGGAUCGUAUGCAGGAUGAGAACACCGGCAUCCCUGUGCGUACUGUCAACAAGUUCAGAGCUAAAGUGCCAUCUGUGUUUACCGGUGCUGAUUUGAUAUUGUGGAUAAUGAAGAAUGUGGAUGUUGAUGAUCAAGUUGAAGCGUUAUACUUUGCAAAUCUUUUGUCCACUCAUGGUUACUUGUUCCCAAUUGAUGAUCAUUUUCUGAAUGUGAAGAACGAUGGAUCUUAUUAUCGUUUUCAAACUCCUUAUUACUGGCCAUCAAAUAUAUUUGACCCUGAGAAUACAGAUUAUGCUGUAUACCUGUGCAAAAGGACAAUGCAAAAUAAAACGCGUUUAGAAUUGGCUGAUUAUGAAGCCGAAAACUUAGCAAAACUUCAAAAAGUUUUAUCUCGAAAAUGGGAAUUUGUAUUUUUACAAGCAGAAGCCCAAAGUAAAGUUGAUAAAAAACGAGAUCGCAUGGAAAGAAAAAUAUUAGAUAGUCAAGAACGUGCAUUUUGGGAUGUACAUAGACCAAUGCCCGGUACUAUAAUAACAACAGAAAUCGACUAUAGGAAAUUAAAGAGGUAUAAAGAAUUAUCUACUUUGGCAAAUGGAGACAUUAACAACUCACUACCAAUACAGCUCCCUGUAAAAACUAACGUUAGUAAACCUACUAUUGAAUCUAUAAAAAAAGAUAUAACUGCAAUGCGACUAAAGCUUGAUCGCCGUAAUAUAAAACUAUCAAAAAUUGCAGACACAUACAUUACCUAUUUUGAACAGUAUGCAGAAUAUGAUCCAUUUUUUACACCUCCAGAAUUUGGCAACCCUUGGUUACUAGAUAAUGUUGAAGUAUGGGAUUGUGACAAACAUUCUUCUUUGUUUUUGUAUAGGAAGGAAGUUACUGUGCGUAGAAUAAAACGAUGGGCAUUUAGUUUAAAAGAACUUCUAGCUGAUCCUGCUGGAAAAGAACAUUUUACAAAAUUCCUGGAAAAAGAAUUUAGUUGUGAAAAUUUAAAAUUUUGGGAAGCAGUACAGAAUCUUAAGAAAUUGCCUCAAUGUGAAGUGCCUCAAGCUGCCGAAGAAAUCUGGACAGAGUAUUUAAGUGGCGAUUCAUUAAACAUUGAUUCUCAGUCAAGAGAAUUGAGCCGAAAGAACAUGUCUGCUCCUGAUAGAUGGGCAUUUGAUAUUGCUGCCGUAUGUAAUCGCACAUUUUCAUUAUGUUCAUGUAUACCAUUUAAUGAAAAGUGAUAGCUAUCAGAGGUAUAUAAGAUCAGAAAUGUAUAAAGAAUAUUUAAAUACUUCAAAGAAAAAGACUUCCAUGAAAGGCAUUAGGUCUAUAGUAUCAUUUUCUGGAAAAAGAGAUAUUUGUCCAUCGUGAUGGUAUGCAUACUUAGAUUAUACAAAGUAUCUAUUCAAUACAGUUCAAAUAUAUAAAACAUUAUUUACUUUUUUUAUUUAUAAAUUAUAAGCAAUUUAAUUUAAUUUUUAUAACAUAG
This is an RNA transcript of Melanaphis sacchari, 2058 nucleotides long. It is a transcript of the gene named regulator of G-protein signaling 7-like, with no coding region annotated. The transcript is spliced from 13 exons. Lineage: Eukaryota; Metazoa; Arthropoda; Insecta; Hemiptera; Aphididae. The record is from RefSeq and is a predicted model, not a curated record.